GGUUGUGGCUCAGUGGUAAAGUGUUUGCCUAGCAUGAGUGAGGCACUGGGUUCGAUUCUCAGCACCA
Molecule: transfer RNA, 67 nt
Filed under: Marmota monax (woodchuck)
Lineage: Eukaryota; Metazoa; Chordata; Mammalia; Rodentia; Sciuridae
Description: tRNA.Ala
Source: RNAcentral